GGGUUGUGAGGUUAAGCGACUAAGCGUACACGGUGGAUGCCCUGGCAGUCAGAGGCGAUGAAGGACGUGCUAAUCUGCGAAAAGCGUCGGUAAGGUGAUAUGAACCGUUAUAACCGGCGAUGUCCGAAUGGGGAAACCCAGUGUGAUUCGUCACACUAUCGUUAACUGAAUACAUAGGUUAACGAGGCGAACCGGGGGAACUGAAACAUCUAAGUACCCCGAGGAAAAGAAAUCAACCGAGAUUCCCCCAGUAGCGGCGAGCGAACGGGGAGCAGCCCAGAGUCUGAAUCAGCUUGUGUGUUAGUGGAACGGUCUGGAAAGUCCGACGGUACAGGGUGAUAGUCCCGUACACCAAAAUGCACAGGCUGUGAACUCGAAGAGUAGGGCGGGACACGUGGUAUCCUGUCUGAAUAUGGGGGGACCAUCCUCCAAGGCUAAAUACUCCUGACUGACCGAUAGUGAACCAGUACCGUGAGGGAAAGGCGAAAAGAACCCCGGCGAGGGGAGUGAAAAAGAACCUGAAACCGUGUACGUACAAGCAGUGGGAGCACCUUCGGGUGUGACUGCGUACCUUUUGUAUAAUGGGUCAGCGACUUAUAUUCUGUAGCAAGGUUAACCGUAUAGGGGAGCCGCAGGGAAACCGAGUCUUAACUGGGCGUUAAGUUGCAGGGUAUAGACCCGAAACCCGGUGAUCUAGCCAUGGGCAGGUUGAAGGUUGGGUAACACUAACUGGAGGACCGAACCGACUAAUGUUGAAAAAUUAGCGGAUGACUUGUGGCUGGGGGUGAAAGGCCAAUCAAACCGGGAGAUAGCUGGUUCUCCCCGAAAGCUAUUUAGGUAGCGCCUCGUGAACUCAUCUUCGGGGGUAGAGCACUGUUUCGGCUAGGGGGUCAUCCCGACUUACCAACCCGAUGCAAACUACGAAUACCGAAGAAUGUUAUCACGGGAGACACACGGCGGGUGCUAACGUCCGUCGUGAAGAGGGAAACAACCCAGACCGCCAGCUAAGGUCCCAAAGUCAUGGUUAAGUGGGAAACGAUGUGGGAAGGCACAGACAGCCAGGAUGUUGGCUUAGAAGCAGCCAUCAUUUAAAGAAAGCGUAAUAGCUCACUGGUCGAGUCGGCCUGCGCGGAAGAUGUAACGGGGCUAAACCAUGCACCGAAGCUGCGGCAGCGACACUAUGUGUUGUUGGGUAGGGGAGCGUUCUGUAAGCCUGCGAAGGUGACCUGUGAGGGUUGCUGGAGGUAUCAGAAGUGCGAAUGCUGACAUAAGUAACGAUAAAGCGGGUGAAAAGCCCGCUCGCCGGAAGACCAAGGGUUCCUGUCCAACGUUAAUCGGGGCAGGGUGAGUCGACCCCUAAGGCGAGGCCGAAAGGCGUAGUCGAUGGGAAACAGGUUAAUAUUCCUGUACUUGGUGUUACUGCGAAGGGGGGACGGAGAAGGCUAUGUUAGCCGGGCGACGGUUGUCCCGGUUUAAGCAUGUAGGCUGGUUAUCCAGGCAAAUCCGGAUAAUCAAGGCUGAGGUGUGAUGACGAGGCACUACGGUGCUGAAGUAACAAAUGCCCUGCUUCCAGGAAAAGCCUCUAAGCAUCAGGUAACAUCAAAUCGUACCCCAAACCGACACAGGUGGUCAGGUAGAGAAUACCAAGGCGCUUGAGAGAACUCGGGUGAAGGAACUAGGCAAAAUGGUGCCGUAACUUCGGGAGAAGGCACGCUGGUGUGUAGGUGAAGCCCCUGCGGGUGGAGCUGAGACCAGUCGAAGAUACCAGCUGGCUGCAACUGUUUAUUAAAAACACAGCACUGUGCAAACACGAAAGUGGACGUAUACGGUGUGACGCCUGCCCGGUGCCGGAAGGUUAAUUGAUGGGGUUAUCCGUAAGGAGAAGCUCUUGAUCGAAGCCCCGGUAAACGGCGGCCGUAACUAUAACGGUCCUAAGGUAGCGAAAUUCCUUGUCGGGUAAGUUCCGACCUGCACGAAUGGCGUAAUGAUGGCCAGGCUGUCUCCACCCGAGACUCAGUGAAAUUGAACUCGCUGUGAAGAUGCAGUGUACCCGCGGCAAGACGGAAAGACCCCGUGAACCUUUACUAUAGCUUGACACUGAACAUUGAGCCUUGAUGUGUAGGAUAGGUGGGAGGCUUUGAAGCGUGGACGCCAGUCUGCGUGGAGCCAACCUUGAAAUACCACCCUUUAAUGUUUGAUGUUCUAACGUUGGCCCCUUACCGGGGUUGCGGACAGUGUCUGGUGGGUAGUUUGACUGGGGCGGUCUCCUCCCAAAGCGUAACGGAGGAGCACGAAGGUUAGCUAAUCCUGGUCGGACAUCAGGAGGUUAGUGCAAUGGCAUAAGCUAGCUUGACUGCGAGCGUGACGGCGCGAGCAGGUGCGAAAGCAGGUCAUAGUGAUCCGGUGGUUCUGAAUGGAAGGGCCAUCGCUCAACGGAUAAAAGGUACUCCGGGGAUAACAGGCUGAUACCGCCCAAGAGUUCAUAUCGACGGCGGUGUUUGGCACCUCGAUGUCGGCUCAUCACAUCCUGGGGCUGAAGUAGGUCCCAAGGGUAUGGCUGUUCGCCAUUUAAAGUGGUACGCGAGCUGGGUUUAGAACGUCGUGAGACAGUUCGGUCCCUAUCUGCCGUGGGCGCUGGAGAAUUGAGGGGGGCUGCUCCUAGUACGAGAGGACCGGAGUGGACGCAUCACUGGUGUUCGGGUUGUCAUGCCAAUGGCACUGCCCGGUAGCUAAAUGCGGAAGAGAUAAGUGCUGAAAGCAUCUAAGCACGAAACUUGCCCCGAGAUGAGUUCUCCCUGAGACUUUAAGUCUCCUGAAGGAACGUUGAAGACGACGACGUUGAUAGGCCGGGUGUGUAAGCGCAGCGAUGCGUUGAGCUAACCGGUACUAAUGAACCGUGAGGCUUAACCUUACAACGCCGAAG
Molecule: ribosomal RNA, 2923 nt
Filed under: Klebsiella pneumoniae
Lineage: Bacteria; Pseudomonadati; Pseudomonadota; Gammaproteobacteria; Enterobacterales; Enterobacteriaceae
Also listed under: 9 other names
Description: bacterial LSU rRNA
Rfam family: Bacterial large subunit ribosomal RNA
Source: RNAcentral